Molecule: ribosomal RNA, 292 nt
Filed under: uncultured microorganism
Description: partial 16S ribosomal RNA
Rfam family: Bacterial small subunit ribosomal RNA
Source: RNAcentral
GUGCCAGCAGCCGCGGUAAUACGUAGGUGGCAAGCGUUGUCCGGAUUUAUUGGGCGUAAAGCGAGCGCAGGCGGAUUGAUAAGUCUGAUGUGAAAGCCUUCGGCUCAACCGAAGAACUGCAUCAGAAACUGUCAAUCUUGAGUGCAGAAGAGGAGAGUGGAACUCCAUGUGUAGCGGUGGAAUGCGUAGAUAUAUGGAAGAACACCAGUGGCGAAGGCGGCUCUCUGGUCUGUAACUGACGCUGAGGCUCGAAAGCAUGGGUAGCGAACAGGAUUAGAUACCCUGGUAGUCC